GGGAAAGGCCAUAGCUCAGCGGUAGAGCACCUGCUUUCCAUGGGAAAGGAUCUGGGUUCAAUCCCUACCAUUUCCCA
This is a non-coding RNA of Podarcis lilfordi (Lilford's wall lizard), 77 nucleotides long. Lineage: Eukaryota; Metazoa; Chordata; Lepidosauria; Squamata; Lacertidae. The record is from the annotation of a GenBank genome assembly.